UGCAUGCCUGCAGGUCGACGAUUGCCUACGGGAGGCAGCAGUGGGGAAUUUUGGACAAUGGGGGCAACCCUGAUCCAGCCAUUCCGCGUGAGUGAAGAAGGCCUUCGGGUUGUAAAGCUCUUUCGGACGGAACGAAAUGGUUAGGUCGAAUAGACCUGACUGAUGACGGUACCGUAAGAAGAAGCACCGGCUAACUACGUGCCAGCAGCCGCGGUAAUACGUAGGGUGCGAGCGUUAAUCGGAAUUACUGGGCGUAAAGCGUGCGCAGGCGGCGGCACAAGUCAGGUGUGAAAUCCCCGGGCUUAACCUGGGAAUUGCGCUUGAAACUAGGUCGCUAGAGUGUGGCAGAGGGGGGUGGAAUUCCACGUGUAGCAGUGAAAUGCGUAGAGAUGUGGAGGAACACCGAUGGCGAAGGCAGCCCCCUGGGUCAACACUGACGCUCAGGCACGAAAGCGUGGGGAGCAAACAGGAUUAGAUACCCUGGUAGUCCACGCCCUAAACGAUGCGAACUAGGUGUUGGGGAAGGAGACUUCCUUAGUACGUUCGCC
RNAcentral lists this ribosomal RNA (548 nucleotides) under uncultured bacterium. Its description in RNAcentral is "bacterial SSU rRNA". It matches the Rfam family "Bacterial small subunit ribosomal RNA", at positions 301 to 853 of the family's 1533-position model. The record is from RNAcentral.